RNAcentral lists this small RNA (413 nucleotides) under Pan troglodytes (chimpanzee). Its description in RNAcentral is "retained intron". The record is from RNAcentral. Lineage: Eukaryota; Metazoa; Chordata; Mammalia; Primates; Hominidae.
CUCCUUGAGGACACAGCAGAGCAGUGCAGCAUGUCCUGGGCUGAUGCCUGCAGAGUCUUUUGUAAGGCAGGGCAGUUGGGACACUGUGAAGAACUACUUUAGAGCAAUGACGGAGAUAACAAUUUCAUGCUAAGUUAAUCACUGUUGUCCCCCUCCCUUAAAAACAGAUAUGUGGUUGCAGUAGGAUUGGAAUGUGGAAAGAUUUGCUUAUAUACCUGGAAAAAGACUGAUCAAGUUCCAGAAAUAAAUGACUGGACCCACUGUGUAGAAACAAGUCAAAGCCAAAGUCAUACACUGGCUAUCAGAAAAUUAUGCUGGAAGAAUUGCAGUGGAAAAACUGAACAGAAGGAAGCAGAAGGUGCUGAGUGGUUACACUUUGCAAGCUGUGGUGAAGAUCACACUGUGAAGAUACA